CAUGGAGCAAGCAGCUAGUGUGAACUUAUCUUGGUCAAUAAACGCUCAGUAGAAUCAUCAUCAUCAAGAGAGAAAGUUGAACGAAAACUGACAGGUGUAAGCUAGCAAAUGCAGGUGUCAUUAGACAUUCCAGAUGUCAUCAUCUUAUUGGCUCAAGUCCUAGUUUAGUGAAUCCUUCCUAAUCAAAGACCGGUAGAUAGAAAAGAAUUAAACGUACAAGGAGAGCGUGACAAAUGAGGAUGUUUAAAGGCGUAAAAACAAGGGGCGAAAAGGCUAUAAAAGGAGACAUAUGAGAAGAUAAGGGCCACAAAAUUAAAAAGAGUGAGGCUGAGAGAGAGAUAUAUAUACACAUCUAUUUCUCACACCUGCACACACUACACACAAAAUUAAAUUCUUCAAAAUACUUAAAUUUUCGUUAGGGUAAUCUUUAUUUUUAUUUUCUUCCCCCUUCUCUAUCAUCCCGUUUCUUUAAUCCCUUUCUGUAAGCAGUCUGUCUUUCAAGAAGUUUUUAUGGGUUUGUGUUUUUGAGGUUUUUGAAUUUGUAAAAAAUUGGAAAAAAUGCAAACUUAAAUGAAUUUUUCUUAAAAGCUAGGUGUUUUCAGAAACGAGAUUCAAGAAUUUCAGUAAAUUUGUAGAGUUCAUUACUCAUUUUUUUGUUUUUUCUAUUUUCAGCUUUAGAGGGCUUAUUAGUUGUCCCUUCUAAGGUUUAUUUUUUGUUACCACAAGAUAAAAGGGGUUGUUAUUUGAAAACCUCUUUGUAUCCACUUAUCUUUUUGUAUUUUCACUAUUUGUUGGUUUAUUAUUUCUUGGUAAUCAAUCACCUUUUCUUUUAUUUGAUAAGAAACAGGUUGAUCUUUUAAUUCUUUUUUUUCUUAAAUUUGUGUGAAUUUUAGGUAUGGCAGCUACAAUGGAUUUUUGGACUAGUACACUUUUAGAUCUUAACUCAUCAAACUCUUUGCAGGGUGGUGGUGAGCUGAUGGAAGCACUUGCACCUUUUAUCAAAAGUGCUUCUCCUAUCAAUUAUCCUCCUAUUUCACCUUCUUUCUCUUUUCCCUCUACAAAUUCUCAAUCUUUUCCUAUUACUACCACUACUUCUUCUACUUUAACUUCAUUUCCCUAUGAUUCAUUUUAUUUCACCUUCUUUCUCUUGUCCCUCUACAUAUUCUCAAUCUUUUCCUAUUACUACCACUACUUCUUCUACUUUAACUUCAUUUCCCUAUGAUUCAUUUUCCUUAACAUCGCCGCCUAAUAUGACCUAUGAUGUUUGCUCCACUUCCACUACCAUAAACCCUACUUUUUCACAAGGGUUUUCUGGUUUCGAAAUGGAGCAACCGGGCUCAAUUGGGCUGGAUCAGUUAACACAAGCCCAGUUUCACCAACUCCAAGCUCAAAUCUCCCUCCAAAACAACCACCAACAGC
This 1419-nucleotide long non-coding RNA is filed under the name Nicotiana benthamiana. Its description in RNAcentral is "long non-coding RNA (NBEN_LNC028655)". Lineage: Eukaryota; Viridiplantae; Streptophyta; Magnoliopsida; Solanales; Solanaceae. The record is from RNAcentral.